RNAcentral lists this ribosomal RNA (585 nucleotides) under Escherichia coli. Its description in RNAcentral is "bacterial SSU rRNA". It matches the Rfam family "Bacterial small subunit ribosomal RNA", at positions 1 to 575 of the family's 1533-position model. Lineage: Bacteria; Pseudomonadati; Pseudomonadota; Gammaproteobacteria; Enterobacterales; Enterobacteriaceae. The record is from RNAcentral.
AAAUUGAAGAGUUUGAUCAUGGCUCAGAUUGAACGCUGGCGGCAGGCCUAACACAUGCAAGUCGAACGGUAACAGGAAGCAGCUUGCUGCUUCGCUGACGAGUGGCGGACGGGUGAGUAAUGUCUGGGAAACUGCCUGAUGGAGGGGGAUAACUACUGGAAACGGUAGCUAAUACCGCAUAAUGUCGCAAGACCAAAGAGGGGGACCUUCGGGCCUCUUGCCAUCGGAUGUGCCCAGAUGGGAUUAGCUUGUUGGUGGGGUAACGGCUCACCAAGGCGACGAUCCCUAGCUGGUCUGAGAGGAUGACCAGCCACACUGGAACUGAGACACGGUCCAGACUCCUACGGGAGGCAGCAGUGGGGAAUAUUGCACAAUGGGCGCAAGCCUGAUGCAGCCAUGCCGCGUGUAUGAAGAAGGCCUUCGGGUUGUAAAGUACUUUCAGCGGGGAGGAAGGGAGUAAAGUUAAUACCUUUACUCAUUGACGUUACCCGCAGAAGAAGCACCGGCUAACUCCGUGCCAGCAGCCGCGGUAAUACGGAGGGUGCAAGCGUUAAUCGGAAUUACUGGGCGUAAAGCGCACGCAGG